GCAGUGAUAGUUCAGUGUUAGAAUUUUCACCUUCUAUGUGGGAGACCUGGGUUCAAUUCCUGGCCAAUGUA
RNAcentral lists this transfer RNA (71 nucleotides) under Loxodonta africana (African savanna elephant). It matches the Rfam family "tRNA". Rfam says of the family: Transfer RNA (tRNA) molecules are approximately 80 nucleotides in length. Their secondary structure includes four short double-helical elements and three loops (D, anti-codon, and T loops). Further hydrogen bonds mediate the characteristic L-shaped molecular structure. tRNAs have two regions of fundamental functional importance: the anti-codon, which is responsible for specific mRNA codon recognition, and the 3' end, to which the tRNAs corresponding amino acid is attached (by aminoacyl-tRNA synthetases). tRNAs cope with the degeneracy of the genetic code in two manners: having more than one tRNA (with a specific anti-codon) for a particular amino acid; and 'wobble' base-pairing, i.e. permitting non-standard base-pairing at the 3rd anti-codon position. Lineage: Eukaryota; Metazoa; Chordata; Mammalia; Proboscidea; Elephantidae. The record is from Rfam by way of RNAcentral.